Molecule: ribosomal RNA, 1395 nt
Filed under: metagenome
Description: bacterial LSU rRNA
Rfam family: Bacterial large subunit ribosomal RNA
Source: RNAcentral
GCCAGCCUGAGAUGUGAUGCCGAGCCGAUUGUGGUGAAGUGGAUGAUCCUAUGCUGCCGAGAAAAGCCUCUAGUGAGUGUUGUGGCGGCCCGUACCCUAAACCGACUCAGGUGGUCAGGUAGAGAAUACCAAGGCGAUCGGGUGAACUGUGGUUAAGGAACUCGGCAAAUUGCCCCCGUAACUUCGGGAGAAGGGGGACCUCUGCUGGUGAUGGGCUUUACGUUCUGAGCUGGUGGGGGUCGCAGUGGCCAGGGGGAAGCGACUGUUUACUAAAAACACAGGUCCGUGCGAAGUCGUAAGACGAUGUAUACGGACUGACGCCUGCCCGGUGCCGGAACGUUAAGGGGACCGCUUAGCCAACGCGAGUUGGCGAAGGUGAGAACUUAAGCGCCGGUAAACGGCGGUGGUAACUAUAACCAUCCUAAGGUAGCGAAAUUCCUUGUCGGGUAAGUUCCGACCUGCACGAAUGGCGUAACGACUUCCCCGCUGUCUCAACCACAGACCCGGCGAAAUUGCACUACGAGUAAAGAUGCUCGUUUCGCGCAGCAGGACGGAAAGACCCCGGGACCUUCACUACAGCUUGACAUUGGCGUUUGGAACGUCUUGUGUAGGAUAGGUGGGAGACUGGGAAGCUGUCACGCUAGUGAUGGUGGAGUCAUUGGUGAAAUACCACUCUGGUCGUUUUGAACGUCUAACUCUGGUCCGUGAUCCGGAUCGGGGACAGUGUCUGGUGGGUAGUUUAACUGGGGCGGUUGCCUCCUAAAGAGUAACGGAGGCGCCCAAAGGUUCCCUCAGCCUGGUUGGCAAUCAGGUGUUGAUUGUAAGUGCACAAGGGAGCUUGACUGUGAGACUGACAGGUCGAGCAGGAGCGAAAGCUGGGACUAGUGAUCCGGCAUCGGCGUGUGGAAGCGGUGUCGCUCAACGGCUAAAAGGUACCCCGGGGAUAACAGGCUGAUCUUCCCCAAGAGUCCAUAUCGACGGGAUGGUUUGGCACCUCGAUGUCGGCUCGUCGCAUCCUGGGGCUGGAGUAGGUCCCAAGGGUUGGGCUGUUCGCCCAUUAAAGCGGUACGCGAGCUGGGUUUAGAACGUCGCGAGACAGUUCGGUCCCUAUCCGCUGCGCGCGCAGGAGACUUGAAGGGGGCUGUCCCUAGUACGAGAGGACCGGGACGGACGAACCUCUGGUGUGCCAGUUGUACCGCCAGGUGCACGGCUGGUUGGCUACGUUCGGAAGGGAUAACCGCUGAAAGCAUCUAAGCGGGAAGCUCGCCUUGAGGUGAGGUCUCCCACCCCGUGAGGGGGUAAGGCUCCCGGUAGAUCACCGGGUUGAUAGGCCGGAGGUGGAAGCACGGUAACGUGUGGAGCUGACCGGUACUAAUAGGCCGAGGACUUGACCAC